ACGGAAGGCAGCAGUGGGGAAUAUUGCACAAUGGGCGCAAGCCUGAUGCAGCGAUGCCGCGUGAAGGAAGAAGGUUUUCGGAUUGUAAACCUCUGUCAUCGGGGACGAUAAUGACUGUACCCGAGAAGGAAGCUCCGGCUAACUACGUGCCAGCAGCCGCGGUAGUACGUAGGGAGCGAGCGUUAUCCGGAAUUACUGGGUGUAAAGGGUGCGUAGGCGGGACGGCAAGUCAGAUGUGAAAUGUAUGGGCUCAACCCAUAACCUGCAUUUGAAACUGUUGUUCUUGAGUGAGGUAGAGGUAAGCGGAAUUCCUAGUGUAGCGGUGAAAUGCGUAGAUAUUAGGAGGAACAUCGGUGGCGAAGGCGGCUUACUGGGCCUUUACUGACGCUGAGGCACGAAAGCGUGGGGAGCAAACAGGAUUAGAUACCCUGGUA
RNAcentral lists this ribosomal RNA (434 nucleotides) under uncultured Ruminococcus sp. RNAcentral's name for it is "partial 16S ribosomal RNA". It matches the Rfam family "Bacterial small subunit ribosomal RNA", at positions 341 to 792 of the family's 1533-position model. The record is from RNAcentral. Lineage: Bacteria; Bacillati; Bacillota; Clostridia; Eubacteriales; Oscillospiraceae.